GAUGAACGCUGUGCGGCGUGGAUAAGGCAUGCAAGUCGAGCGGUCAUAUAACUAGCUUGCUAAUUAUAUGAUAGCGGCAGACGAGGUAGUAACACGUGGGAACGUACCCCAAAGUCAUGAAUAAGCCAUCGAAAGGUGGUCUAAUACAUGAUAUGUCUCCGGACGAAAGGUUUACCGCUUUGGGAGCGGCCCGCGGGAUAUCAGCUUGUUGGUACGGUAAUGGCGUACCAAGGCUAUGACGUCUAGGGGAGGUGAGAGCCUGACCCCCACCGAUGGAACUGCGACACGGUCCAUACACCUACGGGUGGCUGCAGCCGAGAAUAUUCCGCAAUGGACGAAAGUCUGACGGAGCGACGCCGCGUGGUGGAUGAAGUCCUUAGGGACGUAAACACCUUUUAUAGAGGAGGAAGUUUAUUGACGUUACUCUAUGAAUAAGGGGCUCCUAAUCUCGUGCCAGCAGGAGCGGUAAUACGAGAGCCCCAAGCGUUAUCCGGAAUCACUGGGCGUAAAGGGUGCGCAGGCGGUUAUGUUAGUCCCGUGUCAAAUCUUCCCGCUCAACGGGAAACCGGCAUUGGAUACGGCAUAACUAGAGGAUGUGAGAGGUGUGUGGAACUCUCGGUGUAGGGGUGAAAUCCGUUGAUAUCGAGGGGAACACCAAAAGCGAAGGCAGCACACUGGCACACUCCUGACGCUCAGGCACGAAAGCGUGGGUAGCGAAUGGGAUUAGAUACCCCAGUAGUCCAUGCCCUAAACGAUGUUCUCUGGUUUUUGGGAGUAUCGACCCUCUCAGAGACGAAGCUAACGCGAUAAGAGAACCGCCUGGGAAGUACGAUCGCAAGAUUAAAACUCAAAGGAAUGGACGGGGACUUGCACAAGCGGUGGAUCAUGUGGUUUAAUUCGACGAUAAACGAAGAACCUCACCAGGGCUAGAAACCCCAACGAAUACUUGUAGAAACAUAAGUAGUCUUCGGACGUUGGGGCAGGUGAUGCAUGGCCGUCGUCAGUUCGUGGCUUGAGCUGUUCCGUUAAGUCGGCAAACGAACGCAACCCUCGUCGUCUGUUUUACAUGUCAGGCGAGACCGCCCAGCCCGGUGCACACGAAGCAAUAUGCUUCGCGAACACCGGGCUGGGAGGAAGGAGAGGAUGACGCCAGGUCAGCAUGUCCCUUGAUGCCCUGGGCUACACACGUGAUACAAUGGCCGAUACAAUAGGCUGCGACGGGGUAACCCUGAGCGAAUCCUAAAAGUCGGCCUCAGUUCGGAUUGAGGUCUGCAACUCGACCUCAUGAAGGUGGAAUCGCUAGUAAUCGCGGGUCAGCAUACCGCGGUGAAUACGUUCUCAAGUCUUGUACUCACCGCCC
RNAcentral lists this ribosomal RNA (1360 nucleotides) under uncultured bacterium. RNAcentral's name for it is "bacterial SSU rRNA". It matches the Rfam family "Bacterial small subunit ribosomal RNA", at positions 28 to 1395 of the family's 1533-position model. The record is from RNAcentral.